UAAACUCAAAGGAAUUGACGGGGGCCCGCACAAGCGGCGGAGCAUGCGGAUUAAUUCGAUGCAACGCGAAGAACCUUACCAAGGCUUGACAUAUACGAGAACGCUCUAGAAAUAGAGAACUCUUUGGACACUCGUAUACAGGUGGUGCAUGGUUGUCGUCAGCUCGUGUCGUGAGAUGUUGGGUUAAGUCCCGCAACGAGCGCAACCCUCGUUCUAUGUUGCCAGCGGUUCGGCCGGGAACUCAUAGGAGACUGCCGGGGUCAACUCGGAGGAAG
Molecule: ribosomal RNA, 275 nt
Filed under: uncultured Xylanimonas sp.
Lineage: Bacteria; Bacillati; Actinomycetota; Actinomycetes; Micrococcales; Promicromonosporaceae
Description: partial 16S ribosomal RNA
Rfam family: Bacterial small subunit ribosomal RNA
Source: RNAcentral